GGCUUCGUAGUCUAGAGGUACGAUACUUGCUUUGGGUUCAUCUCAAGUGCAAGUGGCCCGGGUUCGAUUCCCGGCGAAGCCC
Molecule: transfer RNA, 82 nt
Filed under: Macrolepiota fuliginosa MF-IS2
Lineage: Eukaryota; Fungi; Basidiomycota; Agaricomycetes; Agaricales; Agaricaceae
Rfam family: tRNA
About the family: Transfer RNA (tRNA) molecules are approximately 80 nucleotides in length.
Source: Rfam by way of RNAcentral